This 423-nucleotide ribosomal RNA is filed under the name uncultured bacterium. Its description in RNAcentral is "bacterial SSU rRNA". It matches the Rfam family "Bacterial small subunit ribosomal RNA", at positions 207 to 622 of the family's 1533-position model. The record is from RNAcentral.
AAGACCUUGCGCUUUUGGAGCGGCCGAUGCCUGAUUAGCUUGUUGGUAAGGUAAAAGCUUACCGAGGCUUCGAUCAGUAGCUGGUCUGAGAGGACGACCAGCCACACUGGGACUGAGACACGGCCCAGACUCCUACGGGAGGCAGCAGUGGGGAAUUUUGGACAAUGGGGGCAACCCUGAUCCAGCCAUGCCGCGUGAGUGAAGAAGGCCUUCGGGUUGUAAAGCUCUUUCAGCCGGAACGAAACGGUUACGGUUAAUACCCGUGACUACUGACGGUACCGGAAGAAGAAGCACCGGCUAACUACGUGCCAGCAGCCGCGGUAAUACGUAGGGUGCGAGCGUUAAUCGGAAUUACUGGGCGUAAAGCGUGCGCAGGUGGUUUUGUAAGUCAGAUGUGAAAGCCCCGGGCUCAACCUGGGAACU